UACGUAGGGUGCGAGCGUUGUCCGGAAUUACUGGGCGUAAAGAGCUCGUAGGCGGUUUGUCGCGUCUGCCGUGAAAGUCCGGGGCUCAACUCCGGAUCUGCGGUGGGUACGGGCAGACUAGAGUGAUGUAGGGGAGACUGGAAUUCCUGGUGUAGCGGUGAAAUGCGCAGAUAUCAGGAGGAACACCAGUGGCGAAGGCGGCUCACUGGCCCGAUACUGACGCUGAGGUGCGAAAGCGUGGGGAGCAAACAGG
RNAcentral lists this ribosomal RNA (253 nucleotides) under uncultured bacterium. Its description in RNAcentral is "partial 16S ribosomal RNA". It matches the Rfam family "Bacterial small subunit ribosomal RNA", at positions 524 to 776 of the family's 1533-position model. The record is from RNAcentral.